AUUAAUGAUUUUUUUUUUACAGAUAAUUAUUGUUAGAAGUAGAACACACAUCUUAAAAAGAAAAAAACCAACGAACACAAAUUGUCGAACAUCGAUCGAUCGACGAAUCUGCAGCGAAAUUCACAGGGAAUCUACCUAUUUCAUCUCUGUUUAUACUUUGUCUAUAAUGUAGUGUUAGUUCUAUAAAGAGAGUAUUACAAACAUAAUGAUGUUGCCAAAAGAAGAGAAAAUAAUUCUUAUGGAGGAGGUAGCUUAGAUGUUCACUUUGGAGAUUUUCAGAAUUCUAAAUGCCAACCAUCAUUUGCCCAUCAUUUGUGGAGAUUUGCAGAAUUCUAAACGUAAAAGAUUACCAAAUCUCAACGGGCUUCAAGAUUAAGCCGUGGAUCGAUGUCAAGUAAUGAAAUUGCCAAAUUCUGUUUCGUCCGGGUCGAGCCCAUGAUCCGCGCGUCGACCCACCAGAGAAGUCCAGGAUCUGCGUCUUUAUCCGAUCCAGUAGCCCAUGAUCCGCGUUUUUUUUAAGUUGUAAUUAUACUUUUACCCUUAAACAAUUAUUUUCAUUUACUCUUUGAAUGUAAUUUUUCCAAUGGCAUUCUCUUGUAAUUUUGUACACAUUGUAAGGUUAUUUUUUAUGUAAUCCUUCCCAAUUAAUAGUAUA
Molecule: long non-coding RNA, 655 nt
Organism: Arabidopsis lyrata subsp. lyrata
Lineage: Eukaryota; Viridiplantae; Streptophyta; Magnoliopsida; Brassicales; Brassicaceae
Exons: 4
Source: RefSeq, a predicted model, not a curated record